Molecule: ribosomal RNA, 368 nt
Filed under: uncultured organism
Description: bacterial SSU rRNA
Rfam family: Bacterial small subunit ribosomal RNA
Source: RNAcentral
CGUAGGUGGCAAGCGUUGUCCGGAUUUAUUGGGUUUAAAGGGUGCGUAGGUGGCUAUUUAAGUCAGCGGUGAAAUAUCUCAGCUUAACUGAGAGGGUGCCAUUGAUACUGGAUAGCUUGAGUACAGAUGAGGUAGGCGGAAUUGACGGUGUAGCGGUGAAAUGCAUAGAUAUCGUCAAGAACACCGAUAGCGAAGGCAGCUUACCAAGCUGUAACUGACACUGAGGCACGAAAGUGUGGGGAUCAAACAGGAUUAGAUACCCUGGUAGUCCACACUGUAAACGUUGAUGACUCGAUGUUGGCGAUACACAGCCAGCGUCCAAGAGCAAUCGUUAAGUCAUCCACCUGGGGAGUACGCCGGCAACGGUG